UCCGAGGCUUGGCUGCGAGGACCAGUGGGUGUGUGUGACCGACCUCCCAGCAGGCUUUCCCAGCUUUCUCUAGACAAGGUGCAGCGCAGUAGGUCUACAAGGACUAGCGGCGAGUGGGGGCUGGGUGCGUCCACUGGCCUGUGGCAUCACAUUCUGUUCUCUUAGCUCCUUGAAGCAGGAAGGCCUCAUCACACCGGAAUUCACAGGUGGGGGCUGGCUGUGUCCACUGGCCUGUGGCGUCACAUUCUGUUCUCUUAGCUCCUUGGAGCAGGAAGCCCUCAUCACACUCUGACCAGCAGGUGGAGUUGUAGCUGAAAUUCUCCAAAGGGUCUUGACACCGCAGCUUGCCAUGAAGAGGGGCAUUUAGUUGGCCACAGCGUACAACUGAAGUGCUGCUGCUGACCAGGUUCCAGACGCCAGGCAGGUGAGGCUGAAUGGUCCCAUCAGAGUGUGACCCACCUUACAGGAGAAAUUACAGGUAGAGUUGUAGGAGGAGGCACCCAGUGGGUUUUCACAGGUGAAGUCGACUCCCGAAGGCACCAGCAGUGGAUCACAGGUUACCACUGGAGGAAAGGAAAACAUGGUGGGGGCUGGGUGUGUCCACUGGCCUGUGGCGUCACAUUCUGUUCUCUUAGCUCCUUGGAGCAGGAAGCCCUCAUCACACCUGAAUUCACAGGUGGAGUUGAAGCUGUAGGGAGCAAUCGGGUGGCUGCAGUUCAAACCUCCUCCACUAGGGGCAUCAGACACUGCUGGACACUUCACAGCUGCAGGUCAAGCAGAAUGGCCAUGAACGUCAGCUCAACCUUGGCAUGAGGGAGUUUGUUGGUCCCACUGUCUGGUGGCCAGGCAGAGUAGCUGUGCUGCCCCCUGCAGCUGGAAGCCUGCAUUGCAUCGGACCUGGCAGCUGGAGUUGUAGCUGUUCUCUCCAAAGGCGUGGAGACAGCCCACUGAGCCCUGCUCUGGAGGUUGCACUGGCCCACACACCACAGCUGAGGGAGAGAACAGACCAAGAAAUGCAGACUAAACAAUCUCCACACAGUCUUGCCCGUCGCCCAAGUCAUUGGGCUCCCCCGUGGCCCAGUUCUCCGCCUCAGGUGUCAGGAUCUUAUUGGUGCCCACCCAGGUCCACUUCUCCUGCACCUUCCGGAUGCCGAUCCAGUAGUAGCCUUGGUUACGAGGCAGUGCCUCAUUGAGGUAGGCGAUUUCAGCCUUGUUCUGGAUUGCCACUAUGUCGGUGAAGUGCUCCUUGCAGUAGCGUCGAGCCGACUCCCAGUUCAAUGGUGGGUCUGUGGUGUAAUUAUAAGUCCAGGCCUGAACGCCCAUUCGACUGAGAAGCAAAUCUGAACAAAGGGCAAAUCAAAAGGACAAAUCUCUCUCAUAAGCAAAGCCAGUACUUGGUUCUAUGUGAGAAACGUUGUCAUUAAGGAUCAUAUUGUAUGCAAAUAAAAUAAUACACUUGAAAUGGCUGUAAGCACCUUGAAAAUAUCAAAGUACCUUAAAACACAGCAAAGUUUGA
Alosa sapidissima (American shad) is the source of this 1516-nucleotide long non-coding RNA. RefSeq lists it as uncharacterized. The transcript has 7 exons. The record is from RefSeq and is a predicted model, not a curated record. NCBI's taxonomy places the organism in Eukaryota, Metazoa, Chordata, Actinopteri, Clupeiformes, Clupeidae.